Clarias gariepinus (North African catfish) is the source of this 270-nucleotide long non-coding RNA. RefSeq lists it as uncharacterized. The transcript has 3 exons. The record is from RefSeq and is a predicted model, not a curated record. NCBI's taxonomy places the organism in Eukaryota, Metazoa, Chordata, Actinopteri, Siluriformes, Clariidae.
UUCGCCACAGACGCUGCUGGGACUUAUUCUGUGAUCAGCUCAGUACCUUUACCAUCCCUGUCUUUAGACACCAGUGGAGAUAAAGAUCCACAGCAGACAGGGGAUGACGUGUAUCACAUGUACUGUACCAUAAAUGACACACAAGUCAACACCAAAGGCACGGAUGAGGUGUACAGCCUGCUGCAGAGUACAACACACUAAAUGACGUCUUAGUUUAGUUUCUUUCAUGAAAUACAUGCGUCUUUAUUUUGUAAAUGUAAAUAAAUUAAC